Non-coding RNA from Neophaeococcomyces mojaviensis, 73 nucleotides. The record is from the annotation of a GenBank genome assembly. NCBI's taxonomy places the organism in Eukaryota, Fungi, Ascomycota, Eurotiomycetes, Chaetothyriales.
GAGUUAGUAGUUUAAUUGGUAAAAUCUUUCCUUGUCGAGGAAAAUCAUGUCGGAUCGAAGCCGACCUAACUCG